This 207-nucleotide ribosomal RNA is filed under the name Triticum aestivum (bread wheat). RNAcentral's name for it is "partial small subunit ribosomal RNA". Lineage: Eukaryota; Viridiplantae; Streptophyta; Magnoliopsida; Poales; Poaceae. The record is from RNAcentral.
UGUAGUCUCAACGAUGAUGCAUACAUGUCAACUAUGGGUGUUUGCUCCAAUAAUUCGCAUUGGUCUCAAACCAAUGACAUCCAUUUCGAAGACCAUGAGUUCGAGGUGGACGAGGAGGGUGAGGGCAUUGUCGACGCGCCGAAAGGAAGAGCGGGCAAUUACACCAACAUCGAUGAUAUCUUACUAUGCAAUACUUGGGCGGUUUAG